UUGAUCCUGGCUCAGAAUCAACGCUGGCGGCGCGCUUAACACAUGCAAGUCGAACGAGAAAGGGGAGCAAUCCCUGAGUAAAGUGGCGUACGGGUGAGUUACACGUGGGUAAUCUACCUUUUGGUGGGGGAUAACCCUGGGAAACCGGGUCUAAUACCGCAUAAUCUCGAAAGAGCAAAGGAGCAAUUCGCCGAAAGAAUAGCCCGCGGCUGAUUAGCUAGUUGGUAGGGUAAUGGCCUACCAAGGCUUUGAUCGGUAGCCGGCCUGAGAGGGCACACGGCCACACUGGCACUGAAACAUGGGCCAGACUCCUACGGGAGGCAGCAGUGGGGAAUCUUGCACAAUGGGGUCAACCCUGAUGCAGCGACGCCGCGUGAGCGAUGAAGCCUUUCGGGGUGUUAAGCUCUUUCGACAGGAACGAUAAUGACGGUACCUGGAGAAGAAGCUGCUGCUAACUACGUGCCAGCAGCCGCGGUAAUU
This 480-nucleotide ribosomal RNA is filed under the name uncultured Acidobacteriota bacterium. Its description in RNAcentral is "bacterial SSU rRNA". It matches the Rfam family "Bacterial small subunit ribosomal RNA", at positions 13 to 525 of the family's 1533-position model. Lineage: Bacteria; Pseudomonadati; Acidobacteriota. The record is from RNAcentral.